This 425-nucleotide ribosomal RNA is filed under the name uncultured bacterium. Its description in RNAcentral is "partial 16S ribosomal RNA". It matches the Rfam family "Bacterial small subunit ribosomal RNA", at positions 354 to 796 of the family's 1533-position model. The record is from RNAcentral.
GUGGGGAAUAUUGGACAAUGGGCGCAAGCCUGAUCCAGCCAUGCCGCGUGAGUGAUGAAGGCCCUAGGGUUGUAAAGCUCUUUCACCGGAGAAGAUAAUGACGGUAUCCGGAGAAGAAGCCCCGGCUAACUUCGUGCCAGCAGCCGCGGUAAUACGAAGGGGGCUAGCGUUGUUCGGAAUUACUGGGCGUAAAGCGCACGUAGGCGGACAUUUAAGUCAGGGGUGAAAUCCCGGGGCUCAACCCCGGAACUGCCUUUGAUACGGGGUGUCUGGAGUAUGGAAGAGGUAAGUGGAAUUCCGAGUGUAGAGGUGAAAUUCGUAGAUAUUCGGAGGAACACCAGUGGCGAAGGCGGCUUACUGGUCCAUUACUGACGCUGAGGUGCGAAAGCGUGGGGAGCAAACAGGAUUAGAUACCCUAGUAGUCC